GACGAACGCUGGCGGCGUGCUUAACACAUGCAAGUCGAACGGUGAAGCGCCUUCCUUUUUGGUGGGUGUGGAUGAGUGGCGAACGGGUGAGUAACACGUGAGUAACCUGCCCCCUUCUUCUGGAUAACCGCAUGAAAGUGUGGCUAAUACGGGAUAUUCUGGGUCUGUCGCAUGAUGGGUCUGGGAAAGAUAUUGUUUCGGUGGGGGAUGGGCUUGCGGCCUAUCAGCUUGUUGGUGGGGUGAUGGCCUACCAAGGCGGUGACGGGUAGCCGGCCUGAGAGGGUGGACGGUCACACUGGGACUGAGACACGGCCCAGACUCCUACGGGAGGCAGCAGUGGGGAAUAUUGCACAAUGGGCGCAAGCCUGAUGCAGCGACGCCGCGUGAGGGAUGGAGGCCUUCGGGUUGUGAACCUCUUUCGCCAGUGAAGCAGGCCUGCCUCGUUUGUGGGUGGGUUGACGGUAGCUGGAUAAGAAGCGCCGGCUAACUACGUG
RNAcentral lists this ribosomal RNA (494 nucleotides) under uncultured bacterium. RNAcentral describes it as "partial 16S ribosomal RNA". It matches the Rfam family "Bacterial small subunit ribosomal RNA", at positions 28 to 507 of the family's 1533-position model. The record is from RNAcentral.